UUUAAGGUCUAAUCUGCCCCAUGAGGAAUUAAAUGGCCGCGGUACUUUGACCGUGCAAAGGUAGCAUAAUAAUUAGUUUUUUAAUUGAAAGCUGGUAUGAAUGAUUGGACGAGAAAAUGACUGUCUCAAUUUAAUUUUUUUAGAAUUUUAUUUUUAAGUAAGAAAGCUUAAAUUUUAUUAAAAGACGAGAAGACCCUAUAGAGUUUUAUAUUUAGUUGAUUUUUAGUUUUAAAGAAUUAUUUUAUUAAUAUUUAAUUAAAUAUUUUAUUGGGGUGAUAGAAAAAUAUUAUAAACUUUUUUUUCAUUUUAACAUUGAUUUAUGAUUUAAUGAUCCAUUAUUAUAUGAUUAAAAGAAUAAGUUACCUUAGGGAUAACAGCGUAAUUUUUUUUUAGAGUUCUUAUCGAAAGAAAAGAUUGCGACCUCGAUGUUGGAUUAAAAUUAAUAUUUGGUGUAGAAGCUAAAUAAUUAGGUCUGUUCGACCUUUAAAAUUUUACA
Molecule: ribosomal RNA, 496 nt
Filed under: Maladera sp. 836981
Lineage: Eukaryota; Metazoa; Arthropoda; Insecta; Coleoptera; Scarabaeidae
Description: partial 16S large subunit ribosomal RNA
Rfam family: Bacterial large subunit ribosomal RNA
Source: RNAcentral